AACCAUUCUCACCUGCGGCUAGACCUGCGGAGGGAUCAUUACUGAGUCACGUGCUCAAACAACCCUUCUGUGGACCUGAAAUAAAACCGUUGCCUCGGCGGGCGGUCCCCCCCAAACCAACCCCACGUGGUGGGUUAGGGGAGACCAGACAGUCCGGUAUGCUUAAGGCGUCCGGCGCCAGCCGCUGGCCCCAAACAAUUAAACUCUAGUAAUCUUUACCUUCUGAAUUUCAAUAUUUAA
Molecule: unclassified non-coding RNA, 240 nt
Filed under: soil metagenome
Description: partial contains 5.8S ribosomal RNA, internal transcribed spacer 2, and large subunit ribosomal RNA
Source: RNAcentral